RNAcentral lists this non-coding RNA (18 nucleotides) under Arabidopsis thaliana (thale cress). Lineage: Eukaryota; Viridiplantae; Streptophyta; Magnoliopsida; Brassicales; Brassicaceae. The record is from RNAcentral.
UGCCUGGCUCCCUGUAUG